AGUGAACGCUGGCGGUAGGCCUAACACAUGCAAGUCGAACGGCAGCACAGUAAGAGCUUGCUCUUACGGGUGGCGAGUGGCGGACGGGUGAGGAAUACAUCGGAAUCUACUUUUUCGUGGGGGAUAACGUAGGGAAACUUACGCUAAUACCGCAUACGACCAACGGGUGAAAGCAGGGGAUCUUCGGACCUUGCGCGAUUGAAUGAGCCGAUGUCGGAUUAGCUAGUUGGCGGGGUAAAGGCCCACCAAGGCGACGAUCCGUAGCUGGUCUGAGAGGAUGAUCAGCCACACUGGAACUGAGACACGGUCCAGACUCCUACGGGAGGCAGCAGUGGGGAAUAUUGGACAAUGGGCGCAAGCCUGAUCCAGCCAUAUCGCGUGGGUGAAGAAGGCCUUCGGGUUGUAAAGCCCUUUUGUUGGGAAAGAAAAGCAGCAGGUUAAUACCCCGCUGUUCUGACGGUACCCAAAGAAUAAGCACCGGCUAACUUCGUG
RNAcentral lists this ribosomal RNA (492 nucleotides) under uncultured bacterium. Its description in RNAcentral is "partial 16S ribosomal RNA". It matches the Rfam family "Bacterial small subunit ribosomal RNA", at positions 29 to 507 of the family's 1533-position model. The record is from RNAcentral.